RNAcentral lists this ribosomal RNA (432 nucleotides) under uncultured bacterium. RNAcentral describes it as "partial 16S ribosomal RNA". It matches the Rfam family "Bacterial small subunit ribosomal RNA", at positions 338 to 795 of the family's 1533-position model. The record is from RNAcentral.
CCUACGGGUGGCAGCAGUGGGGAAUAUUGCACAAUGGGCGAAAGCCUGAUGCAGCAACGCCGCGUGAGUGAUGAAGGCCUUCGGGUUGUAAAGCUCUGUCUUUGGGGACGCGGUACCCAAGGAGGAAGCCACGGCUAACUACGUGCCAGCAGCCGCGGUAAUACGUAGGUGGCAAGCGUUGUCCGGAUUUACUGGGCGUAAAGGAUGCGUAGGUGGAUAUGCAAGUCAGAUGUGAAAUACCCGGGCUUAACUCGGGUGCUGCAUUUGAAACUAUAUAUCUAGAGUGCAGGAGAGGUAAGUGGAAUUCCUAGUGUAGCGGUGAAAUGCGUAGAGAUUAGGAAGAACACCAGUGGCGAAGGCGACUUACUGGACUGUACUGACACUGAGGCAUGAAAGCGUGGGGAGCAAACAGGAUUAGAUACCCUUGUAGUC